RNAcentral lists this long non-coding RNA (391 nucleotides) under Brachypodium distachyon (stiff brome). RNAcentral describes it as "long non-coding RNA (BDIS_LNC003064)". The record is from RNAcentral. Lineage: Eukaryota; Viridiplantae; Streptophyta; Magnoliopsida; Poales; Poaceae.
CUUCAAGAACCAGGCGGCCAUCCACGAGGCCUACUGCGACGGCAAAUACAACGUGGUGGCGCGCUCCCCGGGGGAGCCCGACGCCACCAAGUUCGACGUCCACUUCUCCUCCAUCUUCGCGCCCUGGCACCGGAUGUACAUCUACUUCUUCGAGGGCAUCCUCGGCGAGCUCGUCGGCGACCCGGCAUUCGGCCUGCCCUACUGGAACUGGGACGCCCCCGCGGGGAUGAUGCUGCCCGCCGCGUUCACCAAUCCGGACUCGCCGCUCUACGACGCCAACCGCAAGCCGGAGAACGAACGUGGCGCCUUCAUCGACCUCAGCCUCUCGCCCAAGGUCAAGUCCGAUCCUAACAAGUUCAAAGACGACCUUCUCGGCCUCAUCGACAGCAAC